CACAUGGGAUGGCUCUUAAUGACAAAGGGCUUCGACACACACCUCCCCGUCGCCCUUAGGCUGUCCACCAGAGUCAAGAGUGCUUGAAAAUAGAAACCUGAAGGGAAAAAGGCUAGCUGAUGUAGUUUCUGCAUAGGCUUAAGGAGGUCACUGGCAAGUUUAGCCCAGAUAUUUGUGAGGUUGUUCCCUGGUUCCUGUUUGUCCUCAGGGCGACAAAGGAAAAACAAUGCUCCGUGGAAACCAGCUCUCCUGGCAUUGGGCAAAGAGCAGCAGUUCUCCUGUGCAGAGACAGAUCCAAACUAGCACGGUGAUUUAUUGAGAAUGGAAACCAGGACGUUACUCUGGAAAACAGGUCUGGGCUGAAACUGCAGAGCUGGAGCAGAGGAUUCUUUCUGGACGCUGGGCAGCUGAGAAGGAGACCUGACCAUUCCCCAAGACAUCUCUGAAGGGGCUGAUGACCAGCACUCCAGGCACACAAGGACCCUGGG
This is a long non-coding RNA of Calidris pugnax (ruff), 488 nucleotides long. RefSeq lists it as uncharacterized. NCBI's taxonomy places the organism in Eukaryota, Metazoa, Chordata, Aves, Charadriiformes, Scolopacidae. The record is from RefSeq and is a predicted model, not a curated record. The transcript is spliced from 3 exons.